UCCCUGGUGGUCCAGUGGUUAGGACACUGUGCUCUCAUUGCCAAGGGCCCUGGUUCAAUCCCUGGUCGAGGAA
Molecule: transfer RNA, 73 nt
Filed under: Bos taurus (domestic cattle)
Lineage: Eukaryota; Metazoa; Chordata; Mammalia; Artiodactyla; Bovidae
Also listed under: 1 other name
Rfam family: tRNA
About the family: Transfer RNA (tRNA) molecules are approximately 80 nucleotides in length.
Source: Rfam by way of RNAcentral